GUCUGGGUGGCUCAGUCGGUUGAGCAUCUGACUUAGGCUCAGAUCAUGAUCUCACAGCUCGUGGGUUUGAGCCCUAUGUCAGGCU
This 85-nucleotide transfer RNA is filed under the name Felis catus (domestic cat). It matches the Rfam family "tRNA". From Rfam's summary of the family: Transfer RNA (tRNA) molecules are approximately 80 nucleotides in length. Their secondary structure includes four short double-helical elements and three loops (D, anti-codon, and T loops). Further hydrogen bonds mediate the characteristic L-shaped molecular structure. tRNAs have two regions of fundamental functional importance: the anti-codon, which is responsible for specific mRNA codon recognition, and the 3' end, to which the tRNAs corresponding amino acid is attached (by aminoacyl-tRNA synthetases). tRNAs cope with the degeneracy of the genetic code in two manners: having more than one tRNA (with a specific anti-codon) for a particular amino acid; and 'wobble' base-pairing, i.e. permitting non-standard base-pairing at the 3rd anti-codon position. The record is from Rfam by way of RNAcentral. RNAcentral also lists the same sequence under 2 other names. Lineage: Eukaryota; Metazoa; Chordata; Mammalia; Carnivora; Felidae.